This is a long non-coding RNA of Chelonoidis abingdonii (Abingdon island giant tortoise), 1555 nucleotides long. RefSeq lists it as uncharacterized. Lineage: Eukaryota; Metazoa; Chordata; Testudines; Testudinidae. The record is from RefSeq and is a predicted model, not a curated record.
GGCCAAGCCCUGGGCAGCCCCCCCCCCCGGCAGCCACGCUGGGUCUGGCCCGUGGCCCGGCUGCCCACAGGCUCCCCGUCCGCUCCUCCACUGCCAGCGGGGGCAGUCACAGGCUGGGGGCCCCGACCCCGUGGCUAAGAGCCGUGGCUGGGCCCAUGCGCCGGGAACGCACUGAGUUCAGAACACGCCAGCAAGGCUUCUGCAGCAGGCCCUGCUCUGCACCAAGGCAGCUGGGCUGCCUAGUCAUAGCGUCUGGUGACUCUUCUUUUUGUGUUGUGUGGCUGGGUAAAUAACACCUCCCGAUUCCCCUUCUCCACAGCGGUUGUAUGUGUGUGGUGAGGAACACGUGUAAUCACUCCUAGACAGUGGCAGCAAUGAACUCCUUUAUUUUGUUUUAACCAGGAACCGGAAAACUACAGACAACUGCCUUCUAGGAAGGAGGAAGCUGAACUGAACCUCAAGAAAAUCGGUCUCUCUCUAAAUAACAAUUUAUGGGUACAAACAGAAGCCCUCCAGUGAACUAGAACUGGGGAGGUCAGCCAUGAGUGGAUAGGGCAACCAGAACUGCAUGCAGUGUUCAAGAUGAACAAUGCUGAACUAUACAGUUUACCAACACCCCUACCGGAGCAACCUUGGAAGAGACUAGCUGCAGAUUUAUGCAGAUUCAGAAGACAUCAUUACCUGGUCAUCUGAGCUAUUUUUCCAGGGACACUAGGAGCCACCAUUAUCCGCUAGUGCUAGAGAGGCUGAAAGAGCUGUACAGACAGCCAAGAAAACCCUACAGCAGCAAAAUCCAUUCCUUGUUCUUCUGAGCUACAGAUCAACACCAGUAGCAGCAACUAGAUACAGUCCAGCACAACUCCUGUUGGGGAGACAACUCAGAACUACUGUUCCAACUUUGGAAAAAAAAAAUCUAUCUCCAAGGUGGCCAGACAUGAAGAGAGUAGCUAAAUCAAAUACAAAGGCAAAAAGAUUUUAUGAACAUUUUUACAACAGACAUGACAGACAACUGCCAGGUCUAGAACUUGGAAACCAUGUUCAUGUCAAAUUGGAUGGAGAAAAAGGAUGGAUAAACUCCUAAAGACAAAGAAUUCAGCACCCAAAUCAUAUGUAACAGGCUGACAGUGGAGAGUUCAACAGAAACCAUCGACAUUUACAGUGUUUUCCUCAGAAAGAAUAAUCAAGAGAGCAAACUCUACAGAUGGUAAGUGCAGAACAAGAAGAUGACUGAGGGAUUCCUGACCAGCUACAGCCAGCCAUUGCAACUAAUGGACAGCCAGAUGAACAAGUUGUUACACGUUCAGGUCAUGUAAUCAGAAACCAGUAUGAUUCAGAGACAGUCGACAGACUGUUACAUAUUGAAUUUCAAAGAUAGUGGUAGCGUAAAUAUUGUAAGUGGUAGGAACGUAGAAUUUAUAGGUGAUGUAAUGCAGUGCUAAAUUUACUGUACUGUUCAGCCAGUAGGUGGCACUGUGUGUAACAUACAUACCUGAGGAAGUGGUUUUUUUUACCCACGAAAGCUUAUGCCCAAAUAAAUCUGUUAGUCUUUAAGGUG